UACGUAGGGGGCAAGCGUUGUCCGGAUUUAUUGGGCGUAAAGAGCGUGUAGGCGGUUUGGUAGGUCCGUUGUGAAAACUCGAGGCUCAACCUCGAGACGCCGAUGGAAACCAUCAGACUAGAGUCCGGAAGAGGAGAGUGGAAUUCCUGGUGUAGCGGUGAAAUGCGCAGAUAUCAGGAAGAACACCCGUGGCUAAGGCGGCUCUCUAGUACGGUACUGACGCUGAGACGCGAAAGCGUGGUGAGCGAACAGG
This 253-nucleotide ribosomal RNA is filed under the name uncultured bacterium. RNAcentral's name for it is "partial 16S ribosomal RNA". It matches the Rfam family "Bacterial small subunit ribosomal RNA", at positions 524 to 776 of the family's 1533-position model. The record is from RNAcentral.